RNAcentral lists this ribosomal RNA (468 nucleotides) under uncultured bacterium. RNAcentral describes it as "partial 16S ribosomal RNA". It matches the Rfam family "Bacterial small subunit ribosomal RNA", at positions 28 to 507 of the family's 1533-position model. The record is from RNAcentral.
GACGAACGCUGGCGGCGUGCUUAACACAUGCAAGUCGAACGGAAAGGCCCUGCUUUUGUGGGGUGCUCGAGUGGCGAACGGGUGAGUAACACGUGAGUAACCUGCCCUUGACUUUGGGAUAACUUCAGGAAACUGGGGCUAAUACCGGAUAGGAGCUCCUGCUGCAUGGUGGGGGUUGGAAAGUUUCGGCGGUUGGGGAUGGACUGGCGGCUUAUCAGCUUGUUGGUGGGGUAGUGGCUUACCAAGGCUUUGACGGGUAGCCGGCCGGAGAGGGUGACCGGCCACAUUGGGACUGAGAUACGGACCAGACUCCUACGGGAGGCAGCAGUGGGGAAUAUUGCACAAUGGGCGGAAGCCGGAUGCAGCAACGCCGCGUGCGGGAUGACGGCCUUCGGGUUGUAAACCGCUUUCGCCUGUGACGAAGCGUGAGUGACGGUAAUGGGUAAAGAAGCACCGGCUAACUACGUG